CUACCCUCAAGCGCGGCUUGUGUGUUGGGCGCUGUCCCCCGGGGACAGGCCUGAAAGGCAGUGGCGGCGUCGCGUCCGGUCCUCGAGCGUAUGGGGCUUUGUCACUCGCUCUGUGAGGUCCGGCCGGGGCCUGUCUACCCCCAAUCUUUUCUCAA
RNAcentral lists this unclassified non-coding RNA (155 nucleotides) under uncultured Sagenomella. RNAcentral's name for it is "sequence contains ITS2". Lineage: Eukaryota; Fungi; Ascomycota; Eurotiomycetes; Eurotiales; Trichocomaceae. The record is from RNAcentral.